Medicago truncatula (barrel medic) is the source of this 294-nucleotide long non-coding RNA. RefSeq lists it as uncharacterized. The transcript has 3 exons. NCBI's taxonomy places the organism in Eukaryota, Viridiplantae, Streptophyta, Magnoliopsida, Fabales, Fabaceae. The record is from RefSeq and is a predicted model, not a curated record.
CUCCUUAGAAACAUAAUAUAAAAACGGGUUACAUAGAGAAAUAGAGAGAAAGGGUACGUAGAGUCUGAAGGAGAAAGAAAAGAGAACAAAAAUUCACUUUGCUGAGACAAGUAUAGAGGUAGGAGAGCAAAGACCGCCGCUUGAGGAGUUUAACGACGGUUAUUACGAAGAUGACAACCCCAAUCUGCCUCACCGAGAUGGUUUUCUUUCCGGGGAUACGAUAUAACCUACCUGAUGACGAGUUGAUUUAGUGGAGAGUGACCGGUCUAAGGAGCAUCCUGGAGUUAGAUGCUA